UUGAGUAAAUUUGAAGCGGCUGGAAUAAGUAGUGUAGCGGUGAAAUGCAUAGAUAUUACUUAGAACACCAAUUGCGAAGGCAGGUCACUAAGAUUUAACUGACGCUGAGGGACGAAAGCGUGGGUAGCGAACAGGAUUAGAUACCCUGGUAGUCCACGCUGUAAACGAUGCUAACUCGUUUUUGGAGCGCAAGCUUCAGAGACCAAGCGAAAGUGAUAAGUUAGCCACCUGGGGAGUACGUUCGCAAGAAUGAAACUCAAAGGAAUUGACGGGGGCCCGCACAAGCGGUGGAUUAUGUGGUUUAAUUCGAUGAUACGCGAGGAACCUUACCAAGACUUAAAUGGGAAUUGACAGAUUUAGAAAUAGAUCCUCCUUCGGGCAAUUUUCAAGGUGCUGCAUGGUUGUCGUCAGCUCGUGCCGUGAGGUGUUAGGUUAAGUCCUGCAACGAGCGCAACCCCUGUCACUAGUUGCUAACAUUAAGUUGAGGACUCUAGUGAGACUGCCUACGCAAGUAGAGAGGAAGGUGGGGAUGACGUCAAAUCAUCACGGCCCUUACGUCUUGGGCCACACACGUAAUACAAUGGCCGGUACAGAGGGCAGCUACACAGCGAUGUGAUGCAAAUCUCGAAAGCCGGUCUCAGUUCGGAUUGGAGUCUGCAACUCGACUCUAUGAAGCUGGAAUCGCUAGUAAUCGCGCAUCAGCCAUGGCGCGGUGAAUACGUUCCCGGGCCUUGUACACACCGCCCGUCAAGCCAUGGAAGUUUGGGGUACCUGAAGUCGGUGACCGUAAAAGGAGCUGCCUAGGGUAAAACAAGUAACUAGGGCUAAGUCGUAACAAGGUAACC
This 845-nucleotide ribosomal RNA is filed under the name uncultured bacterium. RNAcentral describes it as "bacterial SSU rRNA". It matches the Rfam family "Bacterial small subunit ribosomal RNA", at positions 642 to 1501 of the family's 1533-position model. The record is from RNAcentral.